RNAcentral lists this ribosomal RNA (253 nucleotides) under uncultured bacterium. Its description in RNAcentral is "partial 16S ribosomal RNA". It matches the Rfam family "Bacterial small subunit ribosomal RNA", at positions 524 to 776 of the family's 1533-position model. The record is from RNAcentral.
UACGUAGGGUGCAAGCGUUAAUCGGAAUUACUGGGCGUAAAGCGCGCGCAGGUGGACAAGUAUGUGCCGUGUGAAAGCGCCGUCCUUACGAUGGCGAGGUCGUGGUAGACAGCUUGUCUAGAGGCUCAGAGAGGUCGAUGGAAUUCCCGGUGUAGUGGUGAUAUGCGUAGAUAUGCGGAGGAACACCGAUGGCGAAGGCAAUCCCCUGGGCCUGUACUGACGCUCAUGCACGAAAGCGUGGGGAGCAAACAGG